Molecule: ribosomal RNA, 407 nt
Filed under: uncultured bacterium
Lineage: Bacteria
Description: partial 16S ribosomal RNA
Rfam family: Bacterial small subunit ribosomal RNA
Source: RNAcentral
AUUGAACGCUGGCGGCAGGCCUAACACAUGCAAGUCGAGCGGAGCGGCGGACGGGUGAGUAAUGCCUAGGAAUCUGCCUGGUAGUGGGGGAUAACGUCCGGAACCGGGCGCUAAUACCGCAUACUAUCAGAUGAUCCUAGGUCGGAUUAGCUAGUUGGUGGGGUAAAGGCCUACCAAGGCGACGAUCCGUAACUGGUCUGAGAGGAUGAUCAGUCACACUGGAAAGGAGACACGGGCCAGACUCCUACGGGAGGCAGCAGUGGGGAAGAUGGGACAAUGGGCGAAAGCCUGAUCCAGCCAUGCAGCGUGAGUGAAGAAGGCCUUCAGAUUGUAAAGCACUUUAAGUUGGGAGGCGUUACCAACAGAAUAAGCACCGGCGAACUUCGUGCCAGCCGCAGCGGUAAUAA